GAGUCCAGACAUUUUUUGUUUGCCGCAGAAUCGCCUUAUAUACAAAACAGCGAAGGUUGUUUGUUAAAAUUAUGUUUAGUUAAACCAAUAAAAAAUAAAAAAGUAUGAAAAAAAAACACAAAACAAAAAAUUUGUGUCAGUCGUCUUGUUUUUUUUUUUAAUGUUUCUUGAAGAAAAGUCAUUGCUGUUUUGUAGUUUAGACUUUGUAGAACAACUUAAUAAAAACAGGUUCGGUACUAUCAGAUGAAGCAUAGCUGAGAAAAAUGUACCGAAACAUGUCAAAUUUUACAUAUCAAAUUCGGAAAGUGGAAAUUCAACAGCAUGUUUCAAUUAUGUUGUUACAUCGGCGGACUGUUCAUUAGAUUGGAAAACGCACCUAUGUACAAGCCACCAUUUCAUCAGUUUCUUAUAUUACUUUCACCGACAGUGUCCUCAGUUUAUGCCGAUUCGCGUGAUCGAAAGUGUCGACACGAGGUACGACAAUGAAGAAACUAAUCAUCGCAAUCGUUCUGAUUAGUCCCUGCCUGGGGGACGUAUCGCAUCUUUUGUCAAAAGACUCGACGACUACGACUCCGCCACCGCCGCCUAGACCUUACAAUUUUCAGUAUCAUGCAGAACGAUAUCCUGGAAGAAUUGAUCGAGUUCACCAAGAAAAUGGAGACGGUGCUGGACACAUUCAAGGUUCUUAUUCAUUUAUCGAUCCUAAACAUAAACUGCGAACGGUGCAAUACACAGCCGACGAAACUGGAUUUCAUGCUUCCUUAAUAAAUUACGAAGACACGAUUACUCAACCCGUUGAUUCCGAAGCAGUGAAGCUUGCUAAGGAGAAACAUCAUCGCCUUUACCAGAAGAUAGCUGAGGCACAUUCUCACGGUACUCCAGCGGAUCUCCCACGGGAUUCCACGAGCGUGGGGAGAGCGAAGGCCAGACAUAAUCAACUGUACCAGAAGAUUGCCCAGGAACACGCUGUGAUUGCCGCUCAAAGAGAAGCAGAACGUUUAGCCUACGAGGCCACUUCUGUUGUCAAUGAUGUAAAUCCGAAUCAUGCAUACUGACGAUAUUUCGUGGCAAAAAAAAAAAAAACACGAAAAACAAAACAUUUCCUUGAUACUUUAACUGCAACUAAGCUUUCUUCCAUACAAAAAAUAAUUUCUGGCAAAAAAAAUAUAACCGACUACAAAAACCAUUAAAACUACUGUGCUAUCUGGGUAGUAAUGAACAAUACGUAUAUUGUUGCAAAUACAAUCAUCAGGAAUACAUGUGCAACUAAAUGUGAAAGGAUUAAGCGCGAUCGUUUCUAAUGUUUCAACACUGUUCAUCACAUUCAACGAUGUAAGGAGGAGCACAUUCGCUAUGUUUGACACCGAAAGAAUACUUGGGAUUUGGUCUGGGGGAUUUAACGUUGUACUUUGGACCUGGACUGCGACAAAUUACUUUUUCACCGUGCCUAACCGCUAUGCUAUACUCUGGCGCCUUUAUUGUAACCAAGUCUACACUGUAAGGACGAGGACCUGGUGCGGCAUCACAUUUUAGAGCAGGUAGACGUUUUCCUCUAUAAAAUACACAUGAGGAUCAAUAAUCGAAAUCAUUUUUUAAUAGUUUAUGCUAAUAGCAUUGUAUUAUGGUAUAGUUUUAAAAACUAUGCAUUUCAUAGUAAUGAAUUCAAAAAAAGACCAUGGUAAAGCAGUUAGCACAUUUCUGUUAUCUCGCGUAACAGAAACGGUAGUACAUACAUAGAAAAAGCUGGACUGUCACUAAGAAGUUGCACAAAGUAAGGCCCAGGUGUACCACAACUGCCUCUGUGUUUUGUUCGGAAUUUUAGUGAAAACGCAGGACCUUUUGGAACUGGUAAAAUGUAUUUUGGACCAGGUCCACAGGUUGUGUCUAAGAUACAGAAAUCCUAAUGUAGAAAUCCUAGUACUGUGUAAAAAUUGUGACUAAAUAAAGAUGGAAACUAAUAGUAUCUGUUUUUAAAUCGAAACAGGAGAUUCCAUAAUUUUACAGUAUGUAAUCAAACUGUGGUUCCUGCCACGUUUAAUUAAAA
This is an RNA transcript of Hylaeus anthracinus, 2044 nucleotides long. RefSeq lists it as uncharacterized. Lineage: Eukaryota; Metazoa; Arthropoda; Insecta; Hymenoptera; Colletidae. The transcript is spliced from 5 exons. The record is from RefSeq and is a predicted model, not a curated record.